Long non-coding RNA from Dreissena polymorpha, 847 nucleotides. RefSeq lists it as uncharacterized. The transcript has 3 exons. The record is from RefSeq and is a predicted model, not a curated record. Lineage: Eukaryota; Metazoa; Mollusca; Bivalvia; Myida; Dreissenidae.
CUGACACAGUGUGGCCAUACCACGUGGUUUGUGACGUCAUUUUGGCUAGCACGCUAAGUAGAAAUUUGUCAACAUUGGCCCCGCUUAGAAAUUUCAAAUCCACGCACUUCUUCUAUACAACCUCGAAAAAGAAUGUGUACAAACUCGUUGGUCAAUAUAACGUCGAUGGCAAAGUGACCACGAGUUUGACAACCCGGGGAGACUGCGCGUGAAACCGAAGGCAAAAGAGGCCAAAAUGGACUCGAGUCGAAAUGCCGUUGCCAGGGAAACUUUAGGUGUACGGUGGGACUGUGCGAGGAGAAACGAAAGCAAGUUAUUGCCUACGUACAGAAUUGGACUAGACAUAGAAGAAAUUUGAUAAGAAAUCGCCUUUCUGAAGAAUUCCGUGUUUUAGUAGCUUGACUUGAGCGAGAUAUAAAUAAUUAUUCAUGUGCAUAGUGUUAUUUUUUUCCCGUAUUUAAGUUAAUUGUGUCGUGUUCUGAGAAAACUAGGCAUAAUGCUUGUGCGCAAAUUUGUCAUCCCAGAUUAGCCUGUGCAGUGCGCACAGACUAAUCAGGGGCGACAUUUUCUGCUUUUAUGGAAUUUUUCGUUUAAAUAAUGUCUCUUCUUAGCGAAAAUCUGGUUUAGGCGGAAAGUGUCGUCCCUGAUCAGCCUGUGCUGACUGCACAGGCAAAUCUGGGACGACACUUUACGCGGAAAAUGUCGUCCCUUUUAAGCCUGUGAUGACUUCAUAGGCAAAUCUGGGACGACACUUUACGCAAAUGCAUUAUGCCCAGUUUUCUCAGUACACGACAAAAUUGUGCUGAAUAUUUAUCUCACUCAAAUAAAUGCUAAUGGUAUGUGUUUA